Molecule: ribosomal RNA, 454 nt
Filed under: uncultured bacterium
Lineage: Bacteria
Description: bacterial SSU rRNA
Rfam family: Bacterial small subunit ribosomal RNA
Source: RNAcentral
AUUGAACGCUGGCGGAAUGCUUUACACAUGCAAGUCGAACGGCAGCACGGGUGCUUGCACCUGGUGGCGAGUGGCGAACGGGUGAGUAAUGCGUCGGAACGUGCCGAGUAAUGGGGGAGUAACGCAGCGAAAGUUAGUGCUAAUACCGCAUACGCCCUCGAGGGGGAAAGGUAGGGGGAGUCGGCAAGACCUCACGUUAUUCGAGCGGCCGACGUCUGAUUAGCUAGUUGGUGGGGUAAAGGCCUACCAAGGCGACGAUCAGUAGCGGGUCUGAGAGGAUGAUCCGCCACACUGGGACUGAGACACGGCCCAGACUCCUACGGGAGGCAGCAGUGGGGGAAUAUUGGACAAUGGGCGCAAGCCUGAUCCAGCCAUGCCGCGUGAGUGAUGAAGGCCUUCGGGUUGUAAAGCUCUUUGGCGGGGUACGGAGUGAUGACGGUACCCGCAGAAUAAG